Molecule: non-coding RNA, 787 nt
Filed under: Apotropina sp. 1 JJC-2023a
Lineage: Eukaryota; Metazoa; Arthropoda; Insecta; Diptera; Chloropidae
Source: RNAcentral
AUAAAGUUUUAUUUUGGCUUAAAAAUUUAUUGUUAAAUUAUUUUAUAUGUAAAUUUUUGUAUGAAUAUUUAAUUAUUUUAAAAAUGAUUAAAAUUAUAUUUAUUCGCAGUAAUUAAUAUUAUUAAUUAAAGAAAUUUAGAAAAAGUAAUUUUAUUUAGUAUUGGUUAAAUUUGUGCCAGCAUCCGCGGUUAUACAAAUAAUACAAGUAAAUUUUUUAAGGUUUAGUUAAAUGUGAUUAAUUUAUUUAUUUUAAAAUAAAUUUAUUAGGUGAAAUUUAUAAAUUUAUAAAAAAUUUAUUUAAUUAGAUUGAGUCUAAAAAAUUUUUAUUAAAAACUAGGAUUAGAUACCCUAUUAUUAAAAAUGUAAAUUUUAAAUCUAAGGUAGUAAUAGUUAUGAUCUUGAAACUUAAAAAAUUUGGCGGUAUUUUAGUCUAUUCAGAGGAACCUGUUUUAUAAUCGAUAAUCCACGUUGGACCUUACUUAAGUUUGUUAAUCAAUUUAUAUACCGUCGUUAUAAGAAUAUUUUAAAAGAAUAAUAAUUUUCAAGAAUUUUUAUAUAAUUUAUAUCAGAUCAAGGUGUAGUUUAUAUUUAAGUAAAAAUGGGUUACAAUUUAAUUAUAAUUGAAUUUAAAUAUGAAAAAUUUAAUGAAAUUGGAUUUGAAUGUAAAAUUAUAUAGAUUAAUAAUUUGAUUUUAGCUCUAAAAUAUGUACACAUCGCCCGUCGCUCUUAUUAUUAAAGUAAGAUAAGUCGUAACAUAGUAGAUGUACUGGAAAGUGUAUCUAGAAUG